UGAGUAAAUGGGAAACAAGUGGAAAAUUAGGACUACAUUCAUAUGUCGUCUGAGUAAACGGGAAACUGACAGCUAAUUUGCUAAUCUAAAGUAUUCGAUCCCUCCCUUGGCUAAAAAAGAAAAACUCGGGCUCCUUUUGCUAGGACCUUUCCCUUAGCUGAAAGAAAAAAAGAACCAACCCUAGAUCUAAAAACUCGGGCUCGUUUUGCCGCCUCUGACUCUCAGCUAAUCUCUCCCUCGCACGCUCGAUCUCACUCUCAUGAACCUCAGUCCCUCAAUCCACCCUCAAUCCCUUUCACCCUCUCAAGCUCACACACACUCUCAUCCUCCUGCGAUUCCGGCAAAGCAAGUUUGGGUAUGGAAGUUUUGGGUAUAGAAGUUUGGGUAAACAAAGCAUAGACGUCCUCAAGUUUGGUUCGAUUUCUGGUUCGAUUUCGAAUUCUUCAAGCUUGAGACCUGAUAAACAAGAACCCAUCUCUAACACAAGACACAGUUCCACAAGUAAUAGAGUAGACAAAAGGCCAAAUCCAUACAUUCCAGAUCAAAAUCAAUGAAGCAAAUGGCUCCAUAGUCAAAGGCAUCUAUCUAGACGUGGAAACCUUUACGCCACAAACAGGAAAUGAAACAACAACUUUCACACUAGCCCAUCCUCUUCCUGACAAAAAAGAGUCCCUGAUAAACAAAACAGUUCGCAGGGAAGCUGACAUUGAACCAGCAAUGGCAUUGCAGCUCUUGCACCACUUUUUGUGUAGAUAGAACUGGAACAAGCAACUUCUGGAUAGGCUCAACUAGACCAACUAUUUUAGCAUCAAAAAACUAGACCAACUAUUUUUUGAAAAAUGUUCCAGGAGCGACUGUAACCAAGCAAACCUCAAACUUAUAGUGGUUAGUUUUAUGUACUUCAUUGUAUAUUUCACCUUCCAUUAUCUUAAUUCUGUAUUUUCAGGGUAUUCCGGAGCAAAAAAAUGACAAGACUUGUGGAUAUUUCAUUAUGUGUUACAUGAAAGAAAUUGUGGAGGACAAGAACUUGGAUUUUAGUAUGAAGUGGGGAACGAGGUCAAAUUUGGUUUACACAGUCAAUGAUAUUGAUGAGAUCCGAGCUGAAUGGGCUGAGCAUGUUUUGAAGUUCCCAGAAAAUUAAGUAUCAGCCUAUAUAUUUGCUUUUGUUUCUGGUAGGUUAUGAGCAGUAGUAGUGUCUAGGAACUGCUUUUGUGCAUUUUGACAGAACUGCCUAUAUAUAUGCUUUUGUUUCUGGUAGGUUAUGAGCAGUAGUAGUGGUUAGGAACUGCUUUUGUGCAUUUUGACAGAACUGCCUAUAUAUAUGCUUUUGUUUCUGGUAGGUUAUGAGCAGUAGUAGUGGUUAGGAACUGCUUUUGUGCAUUUUGACAGAACUGAUGGAAAGUGUUGAACAUAUGCAUGCAGUUGCUGUAACUACUCUAUGGAUGCUACUAGGUUUUUGUCUUAGUUAGAUUAAGCUCCGUGCAAC
This is a long non-coding RNA of Rosa chinensis, 1486 nucleotides long. RefSeq lists it as uncharacterized. The record is from RefSeq and is a predicted model, not a curated record. The transcript is spliced from 5 exons. Lineage: Eukaryota; Viridiplantae; Streptophyta; Magnoliopsida; Rosales; Rosaceae.